This 484-nucleotide ribosomal RNA is filed under the name uncultured bacterium. RNAcentral's name for it is "partial 16S ribosomal RNA". It matches the Rfam family "Bacterial small subunit ribosomal RNA", at positions 28 to 523 of the family's 1533-position model. The record is from RNAcentral.
GACGAACGCUGGCGGCGUGCUUAACACAUGCCAGUCGAACGAUGAACCCGGAGCUUGCCCCGGUGGAUUAGUGGCGAACGGGUGAGUAACACGUGCGAAACCUGCCCUUGACUCUGGGAUAACUGCGUGAAACUGUAGCUAAUACCGGAUACGACUCUCCGCAGCAUCGCCAGGGGGAGGAAAGAAGUUCAGACAAGGAUGGACUCGCGGCCUAUCAGCUAGAUGGUGAGGUAACGGAUCACCAAGGCGACGAGGGGUAGCCAGCCUGAGAGGGUGGCCGGCCACAAUGGGACUGAGACACGGCCCAGACUCCUACGGGAGGCAGCAGUGGGGAAUAUUGCACAAUGGGCGCAAGCCUGAUGCAGCGACGCCGCGUGAGGGAUGACGGCCUUAGGGUUGUAAACCUCUUUCAGCACCGACGAAGCGCAAGUGACGGUAGGUGCAGAAGAAGGACCGGCCAACUACGUGCCAGCAGCCGCAGUAA